UGAUCGGGACCCGCGACGUUUGGAAGC
Molecule: small RNA, 27 nt
Filed under: Bombyx mori (domestic silkworm)
Lineage: Eukaryota; Metazoa; Arthropoda; Insecta; Lepidoptera; Bombycidae
Description: ovarian small RNA-32696
Source: RNAcentral